Molecule: transfer RNA, 73 nt
Filed under: Weissella soli
Lineage: Bacteria; Bacillati; Bacillota; Bacilli; Lactobacillales; Lactobacillaceae
Rfam family: tRNA
About the family: Transfer RNA (tRNA) molecules are approximately 80 nucleotides in length. Their secondary structure includes four short double-helical elements and three loops (D, anti-codon, and T loops).
Source: Rfam by way of RNAcentral
GCCGAGUUAGCUCAGUUGGCAGAGCACUUCACUAGUAAUGAAGGGGUCGCUGGUUCGAAUCCAGUACUCGGCA